RNAcentral lists this ribosomal RNA (369 nucleotides) under uncultured Comamonadaceae bacterium. RNAcentral's name for it is "bacterial SSU rRNA". It matches the Rfam family "Bacterial small subunit ribosomal RNA", at positions 1013 to 1382 of the family's 1533-position model. Lineage: Bacteria; Pseudomonadati; Pseudomonadota; Betaproteobacteria; Burkholderiales; Comamonadaceae. The record is from RNAcentral.
UGCUCGAAAGAGAGCCGUAACACAGGUGCUGCAUGGCUGUCGUCAGCUCGUGUCGUGUAGGAUGUUGGGUUAAGUCCCGCAACCGAGCGCAACCCUUGUCAUUAGUUGCUACAUUCAGUUGGGCACUCUAAUGAGACUGCCGGUGACAAGCCGGAGGAAGUGGGGAUGACGUCAAGUCCUCAUGGCCCUUAUAGGUGGGGCUACACACGUCAUACAAUGGCUGGUACAAAGGGUUGCCAACCCGCGAGGGGGAGCCAAUCCCAUAAAGCCAGUCGUAGUCCGGAUCGUAGUCUGCAACUCGACUACGUGAAGUCGGAAUCGCUAGUAAUCGUGGAUCAGAAUGUCACGGUGAAUACGUUCCCGGGUCUU